RNAcentral lists this long non-coding RNA (1095 nucleotides) under Papio anubis (olive baboon). Its description in RNAcentral is "lncRNA (ENSPANG00000039998.1)". The record is from RNAcentral. Lineage: Eukaryota; Metazoa; Chordata; Mammalia; Primates; Cercopithecidae.
GUGCAACAGAAUAUGAGCUGCAAGGUAUCAUAUUUUUGUUUGGUAAGAGCAUGUUUUUUUAGUUCACGUGACACAUGACAUAUUUUACGGAAUGUUAUGGGUUCAAUGGUGGUUCCCCAAAAAGAUAUAUUGAAGUCCUAACCCCCAGUACCUUCCAAUGUGACUUCAUUUGGAAAGAGGACAAUUGCAAAUGUAAUUAGCUACAUUAAGAUGAGCUGAUGCUGGAGAAGAGUGGGUCCUUAAUCCAAUACGGCUGGUGUUCUUAAAGGAAGAGGAGAGACACCCACAGGUAGAUGAACGCCAGGUGAAGACACAGGCCGCAGAGACAAGGCCAUGUGACAGCAGAGACAGAGAUUGGAGCGAGGCAGCUGCAAGCCAAGGAGCACCAAGGAUUGGUGACCCUCAUGGGAAACUAGGGAGAGGCAAGGAAGGGUUCUGUCUUCCAAGUUUCAGACGGUUUCUCCCAGGACUGCCUCAGAAUCUGGCAGCUGGUUUCCCCCAGAAUGAAGACCCAAGAGAGUGUAAGAAAAAAUACCUAAGCAGAGCUACAAUUUAUAACUACUUCAGAAGUGAUAACCCAUACUCAAGGGGAGGGAAUUACAUAAAGAUAUGAAUACCAGAAGGUAAAGACUUUCCUCCCCUAAAUUAUUGAGAACUCUCCCACCCCUUUAGAAAGAGUGGUGAGUUUCCCUGCCUAUUCAUGAAUAUGGCUUAUUGCUAAGCCUAUUCAUGUCAAGUUUAUGAGGUUCUCUUGGGCACUGGAAAAGUGAAGAGGUUAAAGACAUUAUUGUCUUUGUUCUAGAGGCUACAGGCAAAUAAGCUGUCCCUUAAUUUUGGUCAGUCAGAAAUUUUGGUCUCCUAUACAAGAAGACUAGAGCUGUCUGAUGCCAUAGGAAACCACUAAAGAACAAUACGACCAGAUUUGCUUUUAAUGAAAAAAAUUGCUUUAGUAAAGAUACAGCGAGUGAUUUGCGGAAGAGGUAGAGGAUUCGGUUAUGGAUCGUUGGCAAUAAUGCAGGCAGGGGAUGAUGUGGGCUGAAUUAGAGCAGUGGCAUUUGCAGUGAGUAGAUUUGAUACUUAGAAGAAAGCGUUUAC